CGCUUCCUUCCGCCCGCCGGGUCCGCUCCGCUGCCGCCGUGGGAAACUCGCCGGACAGGUAGGGCAGCUAAAUUGCAGUUUGUUAGAAGUGGCUCAAAACGAUCGAAGAAAAACUGUCAUCAAAUUAUACUUUCUAUUGGAAUUAGUAUUUAUUGAUUGGUGUGUUCCAAGCCCUACAGACACAUUAGUGAAC
Long non-coding RNA from Hyaena hyaena (striped hyena), 193 nucleotides. RefSeq lists it as uncharacterized. The transcript has 3 exons. The record is from RefSeq and is a predicted model, not a curated record. NCBI's taxonomy places the organism in Eukaryota, Metazoa, Chordata, Mammalia, Carnivora, Hyaenidae.